RNAcentral lists this ribosomal RNA (252 nucleotides) under uncultured bacterium. Its description in RNAcentral is "partial 16S ribosomal RNA". It matches the Rfam family "Bacterial small subunit ribosomal RNA", at positions 524 to 775 of the family's 1533-position model. The record is from RNAcentral.
UACAGAGGGUGCAAGCGUUAAUCGGAAUUACUGGGCGUAAAGGGUGCGUAGGUGGUUGAAUAAGUUAGGUGUGAAAGCCCUGGGCUUAACCUGGGAAUUGCGCCUAAUACUGUUUAGCUAGAGUACUGUAGAGGAAGGUGGAAUUUCCGGUGUAGCGGUGAAAUGCGUAGAUAUCGGAAGGAACAUCAGUGGCGAAGGCGACUUUCUGGACAGAUACUGACACUGAGGCACGAAAGCAUGGGGAGCAAACAG